RNAcentral lists this ribosomal RNA (459 nucleotides) under uncultured bacterium. RNAcentral describes it as "partial 16S ribosomal RNA". It matches the Rfam family "Bacterial small subunit ribosomal RNA", at positions 338 to 795 of the family's 1533-position model. The record is from RNAcentral.
CCUACGGGGGGCAGCAGUGAGGAAUAUUGGUCAAUGGUCGGGAGACUGAACCAGCCAAGCCGCGUGAGGGAUGAAGGUACAGAGUAUCGUAAACCUCUUUUGUCAGGGAACAAAGGCGGGGACGUGUCCCCGGCUGAGUGUACCUUAAGAAAAAGCAUCGGCUAACUCCGUGCCAGCAGCCGCGGUAAUACGGAGGAUGCGAGCGUUAUCCGGAUUUAUUGGGUUUAAAGGGUGCGCAGGCGGUCUGUUAAGUCAGCGGUCAAAGCCCGGGGCUCAACCCCGGCCCGCCGUUGAAACUGGCAGUCUCGAGUUGGAGAGAAGUAGGCGGAAUGCGCGGUGUAGCGGUGAAAUGCAUAGAUAUCGCGCAGAACUCCGAUUGCGAAGGCAACAUGCCGGCUCCAAACUGACGCUGAGGCACGAAAGCGUGGGUAUCGAACAGGAUUAGAUACCCUAGUAGUC